RNAcentral lists this non-coding RNA (27 nucleotides) under Homo sapiens (human). Lineage: Eukaryota; Metazoa; Chordata; Mammalia; Primates; Hominidae. The record is from RNAcentral.
CACGGAUGCCUGGUCUUACAAUCAUAU